Hypanus sabinus (Atlantic stingray) is the source of this 832-nucleotide long non-coding RNA. RefSeq lists it as uncharacterized. The transcript is spliced from 3 exons. The record is from RefSeq and is a predicted model, not a curated record. Lineage: Eukaryota; Metazoa; Chordata; Chondrichthyes; Myliobatiformes; Dasyatidae.
UCCUCCUGACCUGUCAAAAUCAUCCUGAUUGCUGACCAUCCACCUGUUACCAGCUCUGCAGGGCUGUUAAUUCUUUGCAGUGCAAUAGAAAGGUAGAUGCUGGAGCUGCUGAUGAGCCUGAUUUCUGUUAUGGGAAGUGGAUAAUGAUAACCUGGUACCAACACUCUCUCCCACAAUAUGUCCAUAAUGCAAAACAUGAUAGGAAGGUAAGUCCUUUCUCCUACUUUGCUCAUACAGUUUAGUGUCUCCUCCCACUCUUUUAUCCUUAUGUUGAGCUCUGGCCUCUCUUCAGGUCUGGAUUGAAGCCCAAAGGUCAAUUGGAAGUAAGGUUGACUGGAUUUCCAGAUAACAGCCCAAAGAUUGAUUGGACGUCCAAAUCAAAGCCUGAAGGUUAAUUAGAAGUUCAGAUCGAAGCCCAAAGGUUGAUUGGAUGUCCAGAUCGAAGCCUGAAGUCGACGCCCAACAUACCUGGCCUCAAAUCUGCAAACCUCUGCAAGUCCACUCGACUAAUAUUUCCUAGUGGGGCAUGGCCCUCAAGCUGAUGAAGACCAGUUGUUUGAAUGGCUGUGGAUUGAUAACACUGAGAAUGUGGUGGACUGUCUACAAUGAAUAAAACUCUUCCCGGGCUUCCAGCCGGGCACCGGUAUCGAUUAUAACUGACAUUUUGAUGACACACUCAGCCAUCUUCAUCGGUGAUGAUUGCCUACUGUUCACCAUUCCCCAUGAUCUUUUUGAAUGUAUCAUUGGCUGUGAUGCUUAGUGUGGAUCGCAAUGUCCAUUUCCUUCCAGAACCUUGCCUGGGACAUCACAAGAGUCAGUCAUGCACUUAAGG